This 756-nucleotide ribosomal RNA is filed under the name Triticum aestivum (bread wheat). Its description in RNAcentral is "partial small subunit ribosomal RNA". The record is from RNAcentral. Lineage: Eukaryota; Viridiplantae; Streptophyta; Magnoliopsida; Poales; Poaceae.
AUGCCCGAGCCCCACCAAAUCCACCAACCCCCGCCCCCGCCCCCGCCUCCAACCGAUCCAAACCCCGUUGCCUCCACGGCUGCAAAUGCCCGGCGCAAUCCGGUACCAUUUCUUACCAUUCUCCGUGUGGAAGGAACGAGAGAAGUUCUUCCUCUGAUUUCUUGCUUGUCUUCUUCCUUUGUUGAGGCCCCGCUGCCGCUGCCGUUGCCUUUGCCGGAGAUCGCGGUGCCGCCGGUGCAGCCGAAGAUGAUCAUAAAGGGGAUGCUGGGCCGGUACGAGCGGUGGAACCCCGUGCACCCGACGGCGGGCGCCUUCUGGGGCGUCGGGCUGGGGUUCGGCUGCGGCGUCGGGUGGGGCCCGGGGUUUGGGCCCGAGGUCAUCGGCUACGUCGGCGCCGGAUGCGGCGUCGGCUUCAGCGUCGGCAUCACGCUCGCCGGUGUCGGCGUCGGGCUGCCACAGCACGGCAUCAUCAGGAACCACUACCACGGUGGAGGUUUUGCAAGCAAUGUCCCAUUCGAAUCAGCAAGGUUUUACCUCUUGACCAUGCUAAAAGGUAUGGUAUGGGAUGCCAUCAGUUAUGCGAGCAACGUCGCAGCUAUGAGGAAAGAAUCUCGACAGAAGCUUUUAAGAUGUCAGGAGAACCCUCAAGUUUCAGGAGGAGUUGAUCUGCCCAAGCUGGGGAAAGGAAUGUCCAGCAGCUUCCGAUCAACGAUGGAGUGUAUCAAGGCCUUCACAAAUCAGCAUUGGCCUCCAUAG